GAUGAACGCUAGCUACAGGCUUAACACAUGCAAGUCGAGGGGCAGCGGGAUUGAAGCUUGCUUCAAUUGCCGGCGACCGGCGCACGGGUGAGUAACGCGUAUCCAACCUUCCGUACACUCAGGGAUAGCCUUUCGAAAGAAAGAUUAAUACCUGAUGGUAUGAUGAGAUUGCAUGAUAUCAUCAUUAAAGAUUUAUCGGUGUACGAUGGGGAUGCGUUCCAUUAGGUAGUAGGCGGGGUAACGGCCCACCUAGCCAUCGAUGGAUAGGGGUUCUGAGAGGAAGGUCCCCCACAUUGGAACUGAGACACGGUCCAAACUCCUACGGGAGGCAGCAGUGAGGAAUAUUGGUCAAUGGACGAGAGUCUGAACCAGCCAAGUAGCGUGAAGGAGGAAGGUCCUACGGAUUGUAAACUUCUUUUAUAAGGGAAUAAACCCUCCCACGUGUGGGAGCUUGCAUGUACCUUAUGAAUAAGCAUCGGCUAACUCCGUG
Molecule: ribosomal RNA, 490 nt
Filed under: uncultured bacterium
Lineage: Bacteria
Description: partial 16S ribosomal RNA
Rfam family: Bacterial small subunit ribosomal RNA
Source: RNAcentral